Non-coding RNA from Populus trichocarpa (black cottonwood), 104 nucleotides. The record is from Rfam. Lineage: Eukaryota; Viridiplantae; Streptophyta; Magnoliopsida; Malpighiales; Salicaceae.
AGUCCAUGGUGGGGGCAUCGCCUGAGCAAAUCCUUGUAUCUCUCCCAUGCCUCAUACAAUGGUUCACUCUCAAGUUGGGCAAAGUUAGCUAUCUCAAUGCGCAU